GGUAACUUAAGGGUUGAAGCAUUAGCUCUUUGGUGAAACUAACUAUGUCAUCAGCACAAGCCUUGAACAUGUUGAUAAGGAUAUGAAAUGCUAGAUGGUAAGAAUGGCAUUGGACAGAAUACACAGUAUUCUGGUGCAGUGCAGGUACUCAGAGAAAACUGAUUAACACAUAGCCUCGCUGCAAGAGCACACUGAUGUAAAGAAGGUUAAAUCUGAUAGAUGGUGGAGCCACUGCCAGCGGACCGAGUGCCAAGCUGCUGGUGAUCAGGGUCGCAGAGUCGCCGUACUGCAGUGCCGUGUACUUACACGAUAAGGAAGCGAAUCUCUCUAUAUGUGCAUUGAUUGAGAGUGUCGAGAUUCAAUGUUAUAAGAUUAAUAGCUGGCACGACUAUACUAGUCUUUAUAUACAUAUUGUAAAAUCUUAAUUGAGUGCCGAGUUAUGGCAGUGUGUAGUCUAGACCAGGCCAUGAUAGUAGGUAAAACAAACAAAGCUAUGUAUAGAUUGUGACUUAUGUCGAUUCGAAGAUUCUUGUAAUGUAAGCUUGUUGCGUGAAUCAAAUUUUAAACAAAAUAUUGAUAGGUAAAUUUAUGUUGGAAAACUGCUCAGAACAGGCCUUAAAGGCAGACUGUCUGGGGCAGGCCCUGAUUGUUGAUGAUGAUAUUAUUUACCAUAACAAACAUAUAAGAUUGAAAAGGUUAAUACCUUUUGAUUGAUUGAUUAUGAUGAAUGAAGGAGCAGACUGUCUGGAACAGGUCCUGACUGGGUUGGGCCUAACAUUCUAGAGCAGGCCGUGAAGGCAGACUGUCUAGAACAGGCUAUGAUACCAGUUUGGCAUUCUAGAGCAGGCCGUUAUGGCAGACUGUCUAGACCACACCAGUCUAGAGCAGGCCAUACCAAAUUAUAAAAUUAUAUUGAUUGAUUAGGUUGAAUGAAGGAGCAGACUGUCUGGAACAGGUUUGGGUAGUAGCCUGACAUUCUAGAGCAGGCCGUGAAGGCAGACUGUCUAGAACAGGCUAUAAUACCAUCUUGACAUUCUAGAGCAGGCCGAUAUGGCAGACUGUCUAGGCCACACCAGUCUAGAGCAGGCCAUAAUUUAAUUGAUUGAUUGGCAGACCGCCUUGAUUAGUCAAGAACGGGCCAUAACAAAUUAUAUUUUGUUGAUGAAAAGAGCAGGCCUUAAAGGCAGACUGCGGAUGUUUAUGGUAUAAUAUCUCUUAUUAAUAUGUUCAGAACAGGCCUUUAGGUUGACUGUUAAUGAUAUAUACUUUGUUAAUAUAAUUAGAACAGGCUUGUAAGCAGACUGAUUAUUAGUGAUAUAAUAUACUUUAUUAAUAUGAUAAGAGCAGGCCUAGUCUAGUAGGCAGACUGUGAUGUUAAUUAGAAAAUAUACUUUUGCUAAUAUGUUAUACUUUGGAACCGGCCUUGAAGGCAGACUGAGAUAGUUAAUGAUAUAAUAUAAAAACCUCGAUAAUAUGAUUAGAAUUGACUUUGUAAGCUGAAUGUGACUAUUAAUGAUAUAUUAUACUUAGUCAAUACUUAAAUAACAAGCCUAGUAGGCAGAGAUUGAUAAUGAUGUUUUAUAUACUUUGAUAAAAUGGAUAAUCAUACUGGUUAUAAAACAGGUAUUGUAAACAGACUGAGAUAGUUAAUGAUAAUACUUUGUUCAUAUGAUUAGAACAUUUGUGGACAAACUGAGAGUGUUAAUCACUUUAUAUUAUGUACAAAAUUCAAACUGCCUAUGGCAUUGUUAAUGAUACAUAAUUCGUUAAUAUGUUUAGAACUGACCUUUGAAAGCGGACUGAGAUUAUUAUUUAUAUAUAUACUUUGUUAAUGUGAUAAGAACAGUUCCUGAAAGCUGUGAAAGACCGAGGGUUGCGAUUGAUCAAGACACGCAUUGAAUAUAAUGAUCUAAUUUGCCAGAAUGUUGAGUAGGCCUUGAAGACAGGCUGCGGUUGUUAAUGGUCGUUUAUACCUACUUGUAUUAAUUGCUUGGAGCAGUCUAUGAUUGUAAAUUAGUUGCUAGAUUGGAAAACUUCAACGAAAUGCAAGCUGUUACAGCUACUUGAUGUAGGUAAUGCAAGUGUUUAUAAUAUGUUGAAUAUUACAAAAAAAAGUUAUGCAUAGGUUUAGAGCAGGCAUUAGGACAGGCUGUAUUGAUGUUGAUUUUUACUUACUCAUAAACUGUCUAGAAGAGCAUGAUUUAAGUUCCUUAAUAUAUUAAUGAAAGAUAGGUAACUGCAGAUUAAAAGUGAUCUUGAUUUGUGAUUUUAUGAGAUUAAAAGGCUGAUGAUUUUAUAUGUGUUAAACUGAUAGCUCUUGUAUAUUUAAUAACUGUAAUAAGGUUACGAAAGAAUUUAAGAUUUUGUAUAUGUGUUAUACUGAUUAUUUAAUAAGGUUUAGGAGAAGGAUACUGUAGUAAUGAAUGUCUGUGGAUUGAUACUGUAGUAAUGAAUGUAGACAUUAAGCGUAGAUAGGUACCCGUACGUUUGUUACCACUGUUAUUGAGGUGAAUAUGUUUAGUGAGAGGGCUCACUUUAUAAUAAGGACGGCCGAAGCUGUAAGCAUCACAAUGAAUAACAUUCUGUAUAUAUAGCCUUAUACUGAUCGUAGCUCAUCUGUGCAUGGGCUUAACGAAUGUCAACAGUAAACGUCAGAUUUGGCGGCACUUCACUUUUUAGGUUAUAAGAGUUUUUGUACGGAUUGUAACUACUGAUAGUAGAUGAUUAAUGAUUUGAUUAAUGUUAUAUUCCUGAUUAUUAUUUGACACUGUAAUUGAAGCAAUCAAUGUAAUAAAGCAAAUGUAGCUGGAA
Molecule: long non-coding RNA, 2811 nt
Filed under: Leguminivora glycinivorella
Lineage: Eukaryota; Metazoa; Arthropoda; Insecta; Lepidoptera; Tortricidae
Description: uncharacterized LOC125225433
Source: RNAcentral